GUUUUGGCUGGAGUUCCCUUGGCCACUUCAUUGAGUACUCAAUUUAGAGAAUAAUAUCCACUGAAGUGUUUGGGGGAACUCCUGUGGUUAC
RNAcentral lists this microRNA precursor (91 nucleotides) under Olea europaea subsp. europaea. RNAcentral's name for it is "mir-395 microRNA precursor family". It matches the Rfam family "mir-395 microRNA precursor family". Rfam says of the family: mir-395 was identified in both Arabidopsis thaliana and Oryza sativa computationally and was later experimentally verified. mir-395 is thought to target mRNAs coding for ATP sulphurylases. The mature sequence is excised from the 3' arm of the hairpin. The record is from Rfam by way of RNAcentral. Lineage: Eukaryota; Viridiplantae; Streptophyta; Magnoliopsida; Lamiales; Oleaceae.